CCCUUAGAUGUUCUGGGCCGCACGCGCGCUACACUGAUGCAUUCAACGAGUCUAAAACCUGGUCUGAUAGGGCUGGGUAAUCUUUUGAAUGUGCAUCGUGAUUGGGAUAGGUGAUUGCAAUUUUUCAUCUUCAACGAGGAAUGCCUAGUAAACGCAAGUCAUCAGCUUGCAUUGAUUACGUCCCUGCCCUUUGUACACACCGCCCGUCGCUCCUACCGAUUGAAUGAUCCGAUGAAUAUCAUGGAUUGAGGAUGCAAGUAGGUUAGCCUAUCUUCAUCUUCGAGAAGUGAAGUAAAUCUUAUCAUUUAGAGGAAGGAGAAGUCGUAACA
This 329-nucleotide ribosomal RNA is filed under the name uncultured eukaryote. RNAcentral describes it as "partial 18S ribosomal RNA". It matches the Rfam family "Eukaryotic small subunit ribosomal RNA", at positions 1470 to 1796 of the family's 1831-position model. The record is from RNAcentral.